AGCAGCCGCGGUAAUUCCAGCUCCAAUAGCGUAUAUUAAAGUUGUUGCAGUUAAAAAGCUCGUAGUUGAACUUCGGGAUUUACCCAUUGGUCAGGCUUAACUGUCUGCACUGGUGUGAUGAAUUCCUACCUUCUGAGGAAUCUCCAUGCCAUUCACUUGGUGUGGUGGGGAAUCAGGACUGUUACUUUGAAAAAUUAGAGUGUUUAAAGCAGGCUAACGUCUGAAUACAUUAGCAUGGAAUAAUAGAAUAGGACGGUUUGGUUCUAUUUUGUUGGUUUCUAGGAUCACCGUAAUGAUUAAUAGGGAUAGUUGGGGGCAUUAGUAUUCAAUUGUCAGAGGUGAAAUUCUUGGAUUUAUUGAAGACUAACUACUGCGAAAGCAUUUGCCAAGGAUGUUUUCAUUAAUCAAGAACGAAAGUUAGGGGAUCGAAGACGAUCAGAUACCGUCGUAGUCUUAACCAUAAACUAUGCCGACUAGGGAUCGGACGAAGUUAGUU
This 496-nucleotide small RNA is filed under the name uncultured Diversispora. Its description in RNAcentral is "SSU rRNA". It matches the Rfam family "Eukaryotic small subunit ribosomal RNA", at positions 569 to 1068 of the family's 1831-position model. The record is from RNAcentral. Lineage: Eukaryota; Fungi; Glomeromycota; Glomeromycetes; Diversisporales; Diversisporaceae.